GACGAACGCUGGCGGCGUGCUUAACACAUGCAAGUCGAACGGAAAGGCCCUUUCGGGGGUACACGAGUGGCGAACGGGUGAGUAACACGUGGGUGAUCUGCCCUGCACUUUGGGAUAAGCAUGGGAAACUGGGUCUAAUACCGGAUAGGACUACGCGAUGCAUGUCGUGUGGUGGAAAGCUUUUGCGGUGUGGGAUGGGCCCGCGGCCUAUCAGCUUGUUGGUGGGGUGAUGGCCUACCAAGGCGACGACGGGUAGCCGGCCUGAGAGGGUGACCGGCCACACUGGGACUGAGAUACGGCCCAGACUCCUACGGGAGGCAGCAGUGGGGAAUAUUGCACAAUGGGCGCAAGCCUGAUGCAGCGACGCCGCGUGGGGGAUGACGGCCUUCGGGUUGUAAACCCCUUUCAGCACAGACGAAGCGUAAGUGACGGUAUGUGCAGAAGAAGCACCGGCCAACUACGUG
RNAcentral lists this ribosomal RNA (464 nucleotides) under uncultured bacterium. RNAcentral describes it as "partial 16S ribosomal RNA". It matches the Rfam family "Bacterial small subunit ribosomal RNA", at positions 28 to 507 of the family's 1533-position model. The record is from RNAcentral.